Long non-coding RNA from Xyrauchen texanus (razorback sucker), 811 nucleotides. RefSeq lists it as uncharacterized. The transcript is spliced from 4 exons. Lineage: Eukaryota; Metazoa; Chordata; Actinopteri; Cypriniformes; Catostomidae. The record is from RefSeq and is a predicted model, not a curated record.
UGCAUGGGGGAGAGCUGGUGGUCCCUUUCGACUGUAGACACGCCUACCCCAGCCAACAAUUUCUUUCAUUGGUUGGCUACUGUCUAUGCAUCCACCAAUCUGGUGAUGCAAACCCAGAUAGGAGAAUCUGUCACGCUUUCCUGCAGGAUUGGCACACUGUUCCAGGGAGUAUGAAUGACUUCAGUUACCUCCACACUAACUGUUUUGAAGUAACUGUAAAAUUGUCCUCUGAUAAGUUCCCACAUGCCAAUGAGCUUCCUAUCGAGUGGGAGAAUAACAAAUAGUCUCAACUGCUGUACAUGGAGCAGGUGCACAGAGGGAUGAAGGGUGUGAUCAGGGAUAAGGACACAAAAGCUGGAAUUGCAAAUGCUGUCAUUAAGUUGGAAGGCCUGGACCAUGACAUAAGAUCUGAGGCUGGAGCUUGUUUUGGGGAGGAACACACCUUUGGGACAGUAUGUGGAUGCAUCUACACGUUCUUUGUGUUUAUUCUGCCUAUUGGCUGGAGUUUGUUUUAUAGAUUCUCUUCUAGGUAUAUUGUAAAACAAAUGAUCUAAAAUUCACCUUAAAACUGCAUCUGAAUACGACACAAUUUUACUUGCUUUUGACGCCCCCAGCUGGACAUUUCACUGCAGCCAAACGUGUUAUACAGCACAUACAUUUAUAAAUAUAUAGAUAGAACACCUGCUAUAACUUUCUCUUCUUUUUCACCUCUCAUUAUUUUGCAUCUGUUUUAAAUUCAUUGAUAUUUCCAGGUUUUCUUUGACCAUGUGAACCUUUUUUUUUUUGUGACAUUUUUCAUUCUCCUAUAUCU